CCUACGGGUGGCAGCAGUGGGGAAUAUUGGACAAUGGGGGCAACCCUGAUCCAGCCAUGCCGCGUGUGUGAAGGAGGCCCUCGGGUUGUAAAGCACUUUCAGUGAGGAAGAACGCCUGGUGGUUAAUACCCAUCAGGAAAGACAUCACUCACAGAAGAAGCACCGGCUAACUCCGUGCCAGCAGCCGCGGUAAUACGGAGGGUGCGAGCGUUAAUCGGAAUUACUGGGCGUAAAGCGCGCGUAGGUGGCUUGAUAAGCCGGUUGUGAAAGCCCCGGGCUCAACCUGGGAACGGCAUCCGGAACUGUCAAGCUAGAGUGCAGGAGAGGAAGGUAGAAUUCCCGGUGUAGCGGUGAAAUGCGUAGAGAUCGGGAGGAAUACCAGUGGCGAAGGCGGCCUUCUGGACUGACACUGACACUGAGGUGCGAAAGCGUGGGUAGCAAACAGGAUUAGAUACCCCAGUAGUC
This 465-nucleotide ribosomal RNA is filed under the name Vreelandella stevensii. RNAcentral describes it as "partial 16S ribosomal RNA". It matches the Rfam family "Bacterial small subunit ribosomal RNA", at positions 338 to 795 of the family's 1533-position model. The record is from RNAcentral. Lineage: Bacteria; Pseudomonadati; Pseudomonadota; Gammaproteobacteria; Oceanospirillales; Halomonadaceae.